Molecule: ribosomal RNA, 2923 nt
Filed under: Klebsiella pneumoniae
Lineage: Bacteria; Pseudomonadati; Pseudomonadota; Gammaproteobacteria; Enterobacterales; Enterobacteriaceae
Description: 23S ribosomal RNA
Rfam family: Bacterial large subunit ribosomal RNA
Source: RNAcentral
GGGUUGUGAGGUUAAGCGACUAAGCGUACACGGUGGAUGCCCUGGCAGUCAGAGGCGAUGAAGGACGUGCUAAUCUGCGAAAAGCGUCGGUAAGGUGAUAUGAACCGUUAUAACCGGCGAUGUCCGAAUGGGGAAACCCAGUGCAAUUCGUUGCACUAUCGUUAACUGAAUACAUAGGUUAACGAGGCGAACCGGGGGAACUGAAACAUCUAAGUACCCCGAGGAAAAGAAAUCAACCGAGAUUCCCCCAGUAGCGGCGAGCGAACGGGGAGCAGCCCAGAGUCUGAAUCAGCUUGUGUGUUAGUGGAACGGUCUGGAAAGUCCGACGGUACAGGGUGAUAGUCCCGUACACCAAAAUGCACAGGCUGUGAACUCGAAGAGUAGGGCGGGACACGUGGUAUCCUGUCUGAAUAUGGGGGGACCAUCCUCCAAGGCUAAAUACUCCUGACUGACCGAUAGUGAACCAGUACCGUGAGGGAAAGGCGAAAAGAACCCCGGCGAGGGGAGUGAAAAAGAACCUGAAACCGUGUACGUACAAGCAGUGGGAGCACCUUCGGGUGUGACUGCGUACCUUUUGUAUAAUGGGUCAGCGACUUAUAUUCUGUAGCAAGGUUAACCGUAUAGGGGAGCCGCAGGGAAACCGAGUCUUAACUGGGCGUUAAGUUGCAGGGUAUAGACCCGAAACCCGGUGAUCUAGCCAUGGGCAGGUUGAAGGUUGGGUAACACUAACUGGAGGACCGAACCGACUAAUGUUGAAAAAUUAGCGGAUGACUUGUGGCUGGGGGUGAAAGGCCAAUCAAACCGGGAGAUAGCUGGUUCUCCCCGAAAGCUAUUUAGGUAGCGCCUCGUGAAUUCAUCUUCGGGGGUAGAGCACUGUUUCGGCUAGGGGGUCAUCCCGACUUACCAACCCGAUGCAAACUACGAAUACCGAAGAAUGUUAUCACGGGAGACACACGGCGGGUGCUAACGUCCGUCGUGAAGAGGGAAACAACCCAGACCGCCAGCUAAGGUCCCAAAGUCAUGGUUAAGUGGGAAACGAUGUGGGAAGGCACAGACAGCCAGGAUGUUGGCUUAGAAGCAGCCAUCAUUUAAAGAAAGCGUAAUAGCUCACUGGUCGAGUCGGCCUGCGCGGAAGAUGUAACGGGGCUAAACCAUGCACCGAAGCUGCGGCAGCGACACUAUGUGUUGUUGGGUAGGGGAGCGUUCUGUAAGCCUGCGAAGGUGUGCUGUGAGGCAUGCUGGAGGUAUCAGAAGUGCGAAUGCUGACAUAAGUAACGAUAAAGCGGGUGAAAAGCCCGCUCGCCGGAAGACCAAGGGUUCCUGUCCAACGUUAAUCGGGGCAGGGUGAGUCGACCCCUAAGGCGAGGCCGAAAGGCGUAGUCGAUGGGAAACAGGUUAAUAUUCCUGUACUUGGUGUUACUGCGAAGGGGGGACGGAGAAGGCUAUGUUAGCCGGGCGACGGUUGUCCCGGUUUAAGCAUGUAGGCUGAUUGUCCAGGCAAAUCCGGAUAAUCAAGGCUGAGGUGUGAUGACGAGGCACUACGGUGCUGAAGUAACAAAUGCCCUGCUUCCAGGAAAAGCCUCUAAGCAUCAGGUAACAUCAAAUCGUACCCCAAACCGACACAGGUGGUCAGGUAGAGAAUACCAAGGCGCUUGAGAGAACUCGGGUGAAGGAACUAGGCAAAAUGGUGCCGUAACUUCGGGAGAAGGCACGCUGGUGUGUAGGUGAAGUCCCUGCGGAUGGAGCUGAGACCAGUCGAAGAUACCAGCUGGCUGCAACUGUUUAUUAAAAACACAGCACUGUGCAAACACGAAAGUGGACGUAUACGGUGUGACGCCUGCCCGGUGCCGGAAGGUUAAUUGAUGGGGUUAUCCGUAAGGAGAAGCUCUUGAUCGAAGCCCCGGUAAACGGCGGCCGUAACUAUAACGGUCCUAAGGUAGCGAAAUUCCUUGUCGGGUAAGUUCCGACCUGCACGAAUGGCGUAAUGAUGGCCAGGCUGUCUCCACCCGAGACUCAGUGAAAUUGAACUCGCUGUGAAGAUGCAGUGUACCCGCGGCAAGACGGAAAGACCCCGUGAACCUUUACUAUAGCUUGACACUGAACAUUGAGCCUUGAUGUGUAGGAUAGGUGGGAGGCUUUGAAGCGUGGACGCCAGUCUGCGUGGAGCCAACCUUGAAAUACCACCCUUUAAUGUUUGAUGUUCUAACGUUGGCCCCUUACCGGGGUUGCGGACAGUGUCUGGUGGGUAGUUUGACUGGGGCGGUCUCCUCCCAAAGCGUAACGGAGGAGCACGAAGGUUAGCUAAUCCUGGUCGGACAUCAGGAGGUUAGUGCAAUGGCAUAAGCUAGCUUGACUGCGAGCGUGACGGCGCGAGCAGGUGCGAAAGCAGGUCAUAGUGAUCCGGUGGUUCUGAAUGGAAGGGCCAUCGCUCAACGGAUAAAAGGUACUCCGGGGAUAACAGGCUGAUACCGCCCAAGAGUUCAUAUCGACGGCGGUGUUUGGCACCUCGAUGUCGGCUCAUCACAUCCUGGGGCUGAAGUAGGUCCCAAGGGUAUGGCUGUUCGCCAUUUAAAGUGGUACGCGAGCUGGGUUUAGAACGUCGUGAGACAGUUCGGUCCCUAUCUGCCGUGGGCGCUGGAGAAUUGAGGGGGGCUGCUCCUAGUACGAGAGGACCGGAGUGGACGCAUCACUGGUGUUCGGGUUGUCAUGCCAAUGGCACUGCCCGGUAGCUAAAUGCGGAAGAGAUAAGUGCUGAAAGCAUCUAAGCACGAAACUUGCCCCGAGAUGAGUUCUCCCUGAGACUAUAAGUCUCCUGAAGGAACGUUAAAGACGAUGACGUUGAUAGGCCGGGUGUGUAAGCGCAGCGAUGCGUUGAGCUAACCGGUACUAAUGAACCGUGAGGCUUAACCUUACAACGCCGAAG